RNAcentral lists this transfer RNA (87 nucleotides) under Minisyncoccota bacterium. Its description in RNAcentral is "tRNA-Ser". It matches the Rfam family "tRNA". Rfam says of the family: Transfer RNA (tRNA) molecules are approximately 80 nucleotides in length. Their secondary structure includes four short double-helical elements and three loops (D, anti-codon, and T loops). Lineage: Bacteria; Bacillati; Minisyncoccota. The record is from RNAcentral.
GGAAAGGUGGCUGAGGGGUUGAAAGCACCGGUUUCGAAAACCGGCAUAGGGGAAACUUUAUCGCGGGUUCAAAUCCCGCCCUUUCCG